RNAcentral lists this ribosomal RNA (1128 nucleotides) under Leotia lubrica. RNAcentral's name for it is "SSU rRNA". It matches the Rfam family "Eukaryotic small subunit ribosomal RNA", at positions 1 to 1154 of the family's 1831-position model. Lineage: Eukaryota; Fungi; Ascomycota; Leotiomycetes; Leotiales; Leotiaceae. The record is from RNAcentral.
UUCGAGUCAUAUGCUUGUCUCAAAGAUUAAGCCAUGCAAGUCUAAGUAUAAGCAACCUAUACUGUGAAACUGCGAAUGGCUCAUUAUAUCAGUCAUAAUUUAUUUGAUAGUACCUCACUACAUGGAUAACCGUGGUAAUUCUAGAGCUAAUACAUGCUAAAAACCCCGACUCCGGGAGGGGUGUAUUUAUUAGAUUAAAAACCAGCGCCCUUCGGGGCUCCUUGGUGAUUCAUAAUAACUCAACGAAUCGCAUGGCCUUGUGCCGGCGAUGGUUCAUUCAAAUUUCUGCCCUAUCAACUUUCGAUGGUAGGAUAGUGGCCUACCAUGGUUUCAACGGGUAACGGGGGAUUAGGGUUCGACUCCGGAGAGGGAGCCUGAGAAACGGCUACCACAUCCAAGGAAGGCAGCAGGCGCGCAAAUUACCCAAUCCCGACACGGGGAGGUAGUGACAAUAAAUACUGAUAUUGGGGUCUUUAGGCUCUAAUAAUUGGAAUGAGUACAAUUUAAAUCCCUUAACGAGGAACAAUUGGAGGGCAAGUCUGGUGCCAGCAGCCGCGGUAAUUCCAGCUCCAAUAGCGUAUAUUAAAGUUGUUGCAGUUAAAAAGCUCGUAGUUGAACCUCGGGCCUGGCUGGCCGGUCCGCCUCACCGCGUGCACUGGUCCGGCCGGGCCUUUCCUUCUGGGGACCCGCAUGCCCUUCAGUGGGUGUGCUGGGGAGCCAGGACUUUUACUGUGAAAAAAUUAGAGUGUUCAAAGCAGGCCUAUGCUCGAAUACAUUAGCAUGGAAUAAUAGAAUAGGACGUGUGGUUCUAUUUUGUUGGUUUCUAGGACCGCCGUAAUGAUUAAUAGGGAUAGUCGGGGGCAUCAGUAUUCAAUUGUCAGAGGUGAAAUUCUUGGAUUUAUUGAAGACUAACUACUGCGAAAGCAUUUGCCAAGGAUGUUUUCAUUAAUCAGUGAACGAAAGUUAGGGGAUCGAAGACGAUCAGAUACCGUCGUAGUCUUAACCAUAAACUAUGCCGACUAGGGAUCGGGCGAUGUUAUCUUUUUGACUCGCUCGGCACCUUGCGAGAAAUCAAAGUUUCUGGGUUCUGGGGGGAGUAUGGUCGCAAGGCUGAAACUUAAAGAAAUU